This 52-nucleotide long non-coding RNA is filed under the name Pongo abelii (Sumatran orangutan). RNAcentral describes it as "lincRNA". The record is from RNAcentral. Lineage: Eukaryota; Metazoa; Chordata; Mammalia; Primates; Hominidae.
CAGCCAGCCAUCAGGGAGCCAGCAAUAGAUGCAAGGAUUGGGGGACUCUGAG